This 430-nucleotide ribosomal RNA is filed under the name uncultured archaeon. RNAcentral describes it as "bacterial SSU rRNA". It matches the Rfam family "Archaeal small subunit ribosomal RNA", at positions 474 to 903 of the family's 1478-position model. The record is from RNAcentral.
UACCUGCAGCUCGAGUGGUGAUCGUUAUUAUUGGGCCUAAAACGUCCGUAGCCGGUCUUAUAAAUGCCUGGGUAAAUCGUAUGGCUUAACCAUACGAAUUCCGGGUAGACUGUUUGACUUGAGACCGGGAGAAGCUAGAGGUACUCCUGGGGUAGAAGUGAAAUUCUGUAAUCCUAGGGGGACCACCAGUGGCGAAGGCGUCUAGCUAGAACGGGUCUGACGGUGAGGGACGAAGCCCUGGGGCGCAAAACGGGGAUUAGAUACCCCGGUAGUCCAGGGUGUAAACGCUGCUUGCUUGAUGUUAGUCUGGCUCCGAGCCAGAUUAGUGUCGGAGAGAAUUGUUAAGCAAGCUGCCUGGGAAGUACGGCCGCAAGCUAGAAACUUAAAGGAAUUGGCGGGGAGCACAGCAACGGGUGGAGCGGUGCGGUUU